AUGUCUCAUUCGUACACUGCGGUUGCUCCGCGCCGUCCGCGCGCACCUGGUGACUGAUCGCUACGUAUUGUCAGCC
This is a non-coding RNA of Xanthomonas fragariae, 76 nucleotides long. The record is from Rfam. Lineage: Bacteria; Pseudomonadati; Pseudomonadota; Gammaproteobacteria; Lysobacterales; Lysobacteraceae.